This 496-nucleotide ribosomal RNA is filed under the name uncultured bacterium. Its description in RNAcentral is "partial 16S ribosomal RNA". It matches the Rfam family "Bacterial small subunit ribosomal RNA", at positions 28 to 506 of the family's 1533-position model. The record is from RNAcentral.
GAUGAACGCUGGCGGCGUGCCUAAUACAUGCAAGUCGAGCGAACAGACGAGGAGCUUGCUCCUCUGACGUUAGCGGCAGACGGGUGAGUAACACGUGGAUAACCUACCUAUAAGACUGGGAUAACUUCGGGAAACCGGAGCUAAUACCGGAUAAUAUAUUGAACCGCAUGGUUCAAUAGUGAAAGACGGUUUUGCUGUCACUUAUAGAUGGAUCCGCGCCGCAUUAGCUAGUUGGUAAGGUAACGGCUUACCAAGGCAACGAUGCGUAGCCGACCUGAGAGGGUGAUCGGCCACACUGGAACUGAGACACGGUCCAGACUCCUACGGGAGGCAGCAGUAGGGAAUCUUCCGCAAUGGGCGAAAGCUUGACGGAGCAACGCCGCGUGAGUGAUGAAGGUCUUCGGAUCGUAAAACUCUGUUAUUAGGGAAGAACAAAUGUGUAAGUAACUAUGCACGUCUUGACGGUACCUAAUCAGAAAGCCACGGCUAACUACGU